This 720-nucleotide ribosomal RNA is filed under the name uncultured soil bacterium. RNAcentral describes it as "bacterial SSU rRNA". It matches the Rfam family "Bacterial small subunit ribosomal RNA", at positions 35 to 761 of the family's 1533-position model. The record is from RNAcentral.
GCUGGCGGCGCGCCUAAUGCAUGCAAGUCGAGCGACGCACACCGGAGGGGUAACCCAUCGGUAUGACGGAGCGGCGAACGGGUGAGUAACACGUGAGCAACCUGCCCCACAGACCGGGAUAGCCCAGGGAAACUUGGAUUAAUACCGGAUAUUCUCGAGGAACCACAUGGCUCUUUGAGGAAAUGCCUUUGUGCUGUGGGAUGGGCACGCGGCUUAUCAGCUAGUUGGUGGGGUAACGGCCUACCAAGGCAUCGACGAGUAGCUGGUCUGAGAGGACGAUCAGCCACACUGGGACUGAGACACGGCCCAGACUCCUACGGGAGGCAGCAGCAGGGAAUCUUGCGCAAUGGGCGAAAGCCUGACGCAGCGACGCCGCGUGGGGGAUGUAGGCCUUCGGGUUGUAAACCCCUUUCAGGAGGGACGAAAUUGACGGUACCUCCAAAAGAAGCCCCGGCCAACUACGUGCCAGCAGCCGCGGUAAUACGUAGGGGGCGAGCGUUGUCCGGAAUCAUUGGGCGUAAAGAGCUCGUAGGCGGUUCAGCAAGUCGUUUGUGAAAGUCCGAGGCUCAACCUCGGAAUUGCAGUCGAAACUGCUGUGACUCGAGUCCGGUAGAGGAGAAUGGAAUUCCCGGUGUAGCGGUGAAAUGCGCAGAUAUCGGGAGGAACACCAGUAGCGAAGGCGGUUCUCUGGGCCGGUACUGACGCUGAGGAGCGAAAGCG